GUUUGGGUUUUUUUUUUUUUAGAGUGUGAGAGAGGAAGAAGAGUAAUUGGACUGAGAGAAAAUGGAUUUAAAUGCAAUUUGUGCUGAAUAAUUUCAGCAUAAUCCAACACACACAAGUUCUAGGUGUGAAUACCUACCCCAUAUAUGUGUGUACUAACAUGAUACUAAAUGUUGUUUUGUCUGUCUCUAACAACUAUUCAAAACAUCAUCACAAAUUUGUUACCCUCCCACCCCUCAGGGUUGUUGUCUACCCAGAUGUGGCUGCAUUGUCAGUAUCAAUUUACGAUAAUUUUUGAUCGAUUCAGAACAAGGCAGCGUAUAAGUGUAAAAUAUGUGUACAUCCAGUUCCCAAGUAAAUAUAUUCUGCACCCCAGCACUUCUGUGUUUCACGAACUCUUCCGAGCCAGGAAAAUCUUAAAGGGUAGUAAAAAACGCAAGUGCCAUAUUGCUCUUCUCGUAUAAGGUAAAUCCAAGAAUGACUGAAAACUUUUAUAAGGAUCCCAUUUUUCUAGCAAUCUCCCUUUCCAGGAGUGGUUCUCUACCUGUUCACAUGUUCAGCUACCCCCAAGCAAGGGAUGGGCUGUUCUUUCUUCCCUUUAUUAGGCUUCUUUAACUACCAUUAUCUUUUUAUCUUAGUUAGUUUUCCAGCUGGGUUUUUAACUUAGUUACUGGUUGGUAAAGGUUGGUCUUCAUAAGUUUGAAUAAUGGCAGAUUUUGACAACAUUAGGUAAAAAAAAAUUAGAUACCUGAAAGUACCACACAAUUCAUCCCUCUUGAGUCUGUUUUUUUAUGUAAUGUCUAGAUGAAAAUACUACCUUCUAAGUGUCCAUGCAUGCGGCUUGGUCCUUGGGACACGUGCCAAGACAAGAAUUUUAGAUGCCCAAGAUCAUGUGCUCAGCAGCUGUAAAUUGUGUUCAGGGAGAGUUCACCUCUUCUCCUUAACCCCGGAGGCAGUUUCUCUUCAUUAGCAAGGAAAGAUGGAGAAAAAGAUUAUCACCGUUGCCUGACUAUAUGCCAGUGUUAUAUAUCAUAAGAAGAAAAUCUGUUUGUAUGUUCACAAAUAUGUUUUCUCCUAAUCUGUCUUCAGGAAAAAGUCUUUGGGAGGAGCAAGAGGUAAUAAUGGCAGGAGACUUGAAAUGAAGUGACAGAAACAGAAGCAGAAUUUCUCUACAGAGAUUUUUUCAAGCAGGACCUGCAGUAGGUCCUCCCAUUAUAAAAUAACAGUACCUAGUCAUGGCCAUGAUUAAAUAAUUAAAAGUAUUCCCAUCUCUGGCUGCUGGUGUCUGGUAUCAUUCAGAAAUACAACUGUAGUACAUCACACGAGAUGUACUCAGCCAGUUUGCUGGCUGAGCCAGGUUGUAUUGCUGGUGUUGAGUCAUUUUCCCCCUCCCCUGCAACAGAUUAAAACGUCCUUGGUGUUUGUGUGCACAUGUGUAUCUGAAAAGAGAAAGUGGCUCAUUUUUGUAUUAAAACUAAUGUGUUACUAUCAUGAUUGUGUCUCAUUGUUUGCUGUUAUAUAAAGAUAACACAUCAGGGCUGAAUCACAGAAACAAAUGCAAAAAAUUGCAGUCUUAAAAGAAUAAGGUGACAGGUCACAUUCAUUGUUGUAGAACAAAUGCAAUAAUUAAUUGCCCUCUCCCUGCAGCACAAGCAACUACUAGAGAGCUAGGCAGUGAAAAGGAGCCAUGUGGAGUAUCCAUAUUCUUCUAGGGCAAACAGCUGAGGUAGAUUAUAUUCAGAAAAUAGAACACAAAAAGCUUUUUGGAAUUUGUGCUGUAUUUUUUUUUUUCUCUCAGACAGUGACAGGCCAGAAUCAGCCCAUGUGAAAAUACACUUUUUAUCCAGCCACAGCAGCUGAACUUGGGAUGUUUGAGUCUACAGGUGACCCUAAGCUACAGCAUCUUCCUCAGAGAUACACAGCAGAGUCAACAGCAGACCUGGAGUUCCAUGGCUCGGCUCUGCAGCAGCAAAGCCCAUGGGAAGGCACUGUGUCAAGCCUUAGGCAGAAGCAU
Pezoporus flaviventris is the source of this 2012-nucleotide long non-coding RNA. RefSeq lists it as uncharacterized. The record is from RefSeq and is a predicted model, not a curated record. The transcript is spliced from 3 exons. Lineage: Eukaryota; Metazoa; Chordata; Aves; Psittaciformes; Psittacidae.